UUAGAUCUGUGGCUGCCUAUAUAAACAGAGCAGUUUCCUACUGGCAGGGCUUGCAGUAACAUCACCUGGCUGCAAGACUUCAUGAAACAUCCUGGAGGAGAGUGCUCAAGUACCAGACCAUGGGCUAGGCAGAAACAAAUUCUUCUUUCAUCCUCAUCUUGAAGCUGACCCAUUGAGGAGUCAAGAGGGAAAAAGAUGAGGGGACAAAGGGAAAAAACAAGAAGGAGCCUGACACUAGCCCAGUGAUGUGCAUACUGCCUGGGGAAGAAGGAAAAGUUUGGUUUUAGCCUCUGUCCUCAGCUUCCAAAGUUGCUUAUACAAUUUAUCCAAUGACUAUUUAAUGUAAAAAAAAAACCCCAAACAGCAAUGGGAAGAGGAGCAGACAUCUACACAUUAACCUUUUUUGUUUAAAUAAAUUCAAAAGCAAUUCAUUGUAUAAACAAACUUGUCUUAAGUGCAGCAUAUUGUAAAAAUGGUUGCUUAAAAGGUGAUUAUGUCCUAAACAAAGGUAGAGCACAAUUAAUUUAGGAUUGGGAAUCGCUGAAUGGAAUUUCACUAGACAAGAGGCUGCCUAAUAAAACUGAUCUUCUGUACUAGUGUCUCUGCUUUUGUUAUUAGAUUCUACAAUAAGGGUUCAACUUUGACAAAAACAAUCCUUUACUAUUCUGUACUUACUUUUUUUCUCAGAGUCUGACAUAAACAUCACUGCCAUAUCAAAUCUUUUUAAUUCAGACAGCCGCUGGAGAAUGUCAAGUGUGAUGGAUGGCUCUUCUUUCCUAAAAUAA
Long non-coding RNA from Alligator mississippiensis (American alligator), 785 nucleotides. RefSeq lists it as uncharacterized. The transcript has 2 exons. The record is from RefSeq and is a predicted model, not a curated record. NCBI's taxonomy places the organism in Eukaryota, Metazoa, Chordata, Crocodylia, Alligatoridae.